Molecule: ribosomal RNA, 300 nt
Filed under: uncultured bacterium
Lineage: Bacteria
Description: bacterial SSU rRNA
Rfam family: Bacterial small subunit ribosomal RNA
Source: RNAcentral
UACGUGAGAAUCUGCCCUUAGGAGAAGAAUAACUACUGGAAACGGUUGCUAAAUCUUCAUAUACCGAGAGGUGAAAUAGCUUCGGCUGCCAAAGGAUGAGCUCGCGCCUGAUUAGCUAGUUGGUAAGGUAAUGGCUUACCAAGGCCACGAUCAGUAGCUGGUUUGAGAGAACGAUCAGCCACACUGGGACUGAGACACGGCCCAGACUCCUCCGGGAGGCAGCAGUGAGGAAUUUUCCGCAAUGGGCGAAAGCCUGACGGAGCAAUACCGCGUGAGGGAUGAAGGAUUUUGGUCUGUAAA